CUUUCUUAUCGUGGGCCGUGGCAUCAUACAAGCAAAAGUGUUAAAACUUAAAAGUGUUUCUUUAUAGUUGUCCACUUGUCCAGUACCCUUCUUUACCAAUACUCUAUUAGGCAUUCAGAUUUGAGACUUUAGAAAUAGAAACCCUAACGUCUAAAAGUGUUAAUUUCAGUAUUACACCCAGCAGCCAGAGCAGCAGACUCACUAUCUCCCUCUCGCCAACUCGCCAACUCGUCGUCUCGCCUCUCCCUGUCGUCAUAGCCAGAGCUCAGAGAAGCAGAUGGUAAGUUUCUUUUCUUGUUGAAAUUCCAACUGUUGCCUUCUCUGCCUUGUGCUAUUUUGAGAUCAAUUUUGACAGUUUUUGUUUAAAUAUCUAUUAAGGAAAUGGUUAUUUUCAUUCCUUUUCUUUUCUUGUUGUAGUGACUCAUAGCAUGGCUGAAAAUAUACAAAGUGAUAAGAUGAUGGGUGAAAGUGGGGCUUCUAAUUCAAAUGCAAUAAGCCAAUCUGAAACAACGGAGUCAAAUAUAACCAAAAAAAGGAAAAAAAAGGUUUAUUGUGUGGGAUCAUUUUACAGAAAUUAUUACUUCCAAAGGGAGUACAAAAG
This 601-nucleotide long non-coding RNA is filed under the name Nicotiana tabacum (common tobacco). RNAcentral's name for it is "long non-coding RNA (NTAB_LNC005862)". The record is from RNAcentral. Lineage: Eukaryota; Viridiplantae; Streptophyta; Magnoliopsida; Solanales; Solanaceae.